This 315-nucleotide ribosomal RNA is filed under the name uncultured eukaryote. Its description in RNAcentral is "partial 18S ribosomal RNA". It matches the Rfam family "Eukaryotic small subunit ribosomal RNA", at positions 1470 to 1796 of the family's 1831-position model. The record is from RNAcentral.
CCCUUAGACGUUCUGGGCCGCACGCGCGCUACACUGACCAGUGCAACAAGCAUCCGUCCUUGGCCGACAGGCUCGGGCAAUCUUUGAACGCUGGUCGUGAUGGGGAUAGACUUUUGCAAUUUUUGGUCUUCAACGAGGAAUUCCUAGUAAACGCAAGUCAUCAACUUGCAUUGAUUACGUCCCUGCCCUUUGUACACACCGCCCGUCGCACCUACCGAUUGAAUGGUCCGGUGAAGCCUCCGGAUUGGCGCGCACCUCGGUGCCGCCGAGAAGUUGGCUAAACCUUACCACCUAGAGGAAGGAGAAGUCGUAACA